AAGACGUAUCGGGAGGGUUGUCUGGACCGUCUAGUCUCCCUAACGGGAGGGCGUGUGAGUGGCAAUUGGAAUGUUUGUUCUGUCUGGCUCCAUGGUCAUGGCCAUCGAACUUUCAAAACACAGCCCUUGUCAUGUUCGCCUCGUGUCAUUUUCGUCCCUGGCGUUCAAUUAUGGUUCUUGUGUUGCCUACCCGUUAAGUGGUAUUCAUCUGCCUCUUAUGACCCUUUCCAUCCAAACCCCUUCUAAAGGUCGUUGGAGGAUUCGAAAGUGAUGCGUGUGAUGUGUUAGCCAGUAAUGGCUUGCGCUCUCACACGUGUCCAGUGUUCCCUCGAAUGUGGUGCACGCGGUGAACGUGGGCGAACUAGUCCGUCCCGUUAAGUCCCUUUAAUUUAUCGGUUCCCUUGAAUGACACUUUGCCGGGGUGAAGGUCUUGCUUACCCAUUCGGGGGGGCAACACUUGCACGGCAAGCAAAGUCUUUAAUG
This 483-nucleotide unclassified non-coding RNA is filed under the name Lupinus micranthus. RNAcentral's name for it is "partial external transcribed spacer". The record is from RNAcentral. Lineage: Eukaryota; Viridiplantae; Streptophyta; Magnoliopsida; Fabales; Fabaceae.